UUUCCGUAGGUGAACCUGCGGAAGGAUCAUUAAUGAAUGCAAGGAUGCUCUUUUUAGAGGUCCGACCCAUUUUUUAUAUUACACCGUGAACCAACUGUUUUUUACACCAUUUUUAAACACUUUAAGUUUAUUGAAUGUCAUAAAAGUCUCUUAAUUGAGCAUUAAAAGUUUUAAAACUUUCGGCAACGGAUCUCUUGGCUCCCGCAUCGAUGAAGAACGCAGC
Molecule: unclassified non-coding RNA, 223 nt
Filed under: uncultured fungus
Lineage: Eukaryota; Fungi
Description: sequence contains ITS1, 5.8S rRNA gene
Rfam family: 5.8S ribosomal RNA (bases 175-223)
Source: RNAcentral